GCGAGUGUAGCAUUUGGCGAGAAAAUAUGCAAAAUAGCAGUUUUUCUGCUUGCUGUACCGGUACAGCCAUCAAGGUGUACCGGUACACUUCAUCAAGCUACGCGCGGGUUGCUCUCGGGUUAGCCUUUGUACCGGUACAUCGGCCCGUGUACCGGUACACCAGAAUAGGUAAAGGGGCUUUUUGGUAAUUUCGAGCCUCGUUUGUGUCACCCUCCUCUCCCCAACCUAUAUACCUGUGUAGAGAGAGCUGAGAGGAGAGUUUCUUGCUUACUUCUUCUUCUCUCUCUAGCUUGGAUCGUGAGCACGGUGGAGCUCGGGUGGAGUUCGGGUUUCGUCGACGUCGCGCCGCGGAGCCGUUCGAGGGUACGGUUGCCGCCGUAGCAUCGCAAGGAGGCCGGGCGAGGGUGCGUUUUCGCCGUUCUUGACGCCGCAUCGAAGUUCGAUUAACCUUUGAGGUGAGUGUUCCGUGGCAAUUGCUUCAAGUACUUCAAGCAUCAUCAAAUUCGAGUUAUGUGUUGUUUCGCAAAAUUUCGUCGUCGACCGUCAGUGUUUCGACUCGUACUCGACGUAGGAGCGUCGGAUUUUGACGAGAUUUAGUUCGUUGGAUUCGGGACUUCGAGAGGAAUCCACGAAGCCCUUAUUUGCUGGUGAAGGUUUGCUGGGUCGGAAUUACAGUCUUCUCUGCUGCUGUUUUUGAGGCAGAUUUGAUGCUUAUUGCCGGAUUCUACGUGUAGAGUUGGCGGGAGCUUGACUUCUGGCCUUUGGAGGUUUUCGGUUGAUCCAGCCGGGCAUUCCUUUGCUUCGGGACUUCCUCGCUGCCAGGGAUUAGCUCGCAAGGUGGGUUACAUCGGUUUAUUCCUAAGUAUCGUAUUAGUCGACAUAUAUGAUUUUCAGUUUUGUAUAUCAUGUGUAGCUAAAUUUCGUCGAUUAUAUCUUGAUGAAAUCCGAUUUGAGAACAUGAUUAGUAAACCCUAAAUAUACAUGUUGGACUUGGAUUUGACUUAAGAGAAAACGCGAUAACGAUCGGCACAUAUAAACUACCUGAUUUAGCCCUAGGGGCCGUUGUAUUAUUUUAUACUGUUGCAGUAUCCUCAUAGUGAGUAUUCCAGAUAGUUUAGUUUCAGUUACGCUCGUGCUGGGAUGCCGAGUGUAGUUUUACAGUAGCGUUCAGGCUGUUCCGGACUGUGGGUGCCGUCGGGGUUGACAGUGGACUCGUAUCGCCUUUUUGGCAUCGGAUUGUGCCGAGGGCACGUUACCUAUUGGUUGUUAGACCAGUUUGAGUCGGUUACUGGAUUUUGGCUUUCGAGAGCCUGAUUGAGCUCGACAGAAAUACGCUGCAUACUCGGUUGGGUAGCUCUCACGAGUGCCACUCCGGAGACGGGCGUUGUGCUUUCGCGUUGGUGUCGCUCAUGCCGGUUGGACUUGCUCUCCACGGACUAGUAGUGUGGAGGUAGCUGGAUAGUCACAACUGGGCAGGGACGGGUGUGUUCACAGUCCCAGGGACGGGUAUGCUUACAGUCCCGAUUGGAUUCGGUCAGAUUUGACAUUUCCUACAGUUGGUCAUUUCCUACAGUUGGUUAGUGUAGAGCAUGAUAGUGUAGUGAUCCAUAGCGGUAGAUUUCAUUCCUGCAUUUACUACUAUCUUUGCUCCCUUCUGUAGACUUAGUGGGUGGACCGAUGUUGUUGAGGGCGGCACCCACUGAGGACUACUUGUUUUUACAGUAGUUCUCACGCCCUGUUGUUACCCCCUGUUUUUGCAGAGC
This 1763-nucleotide long non-coding RNA is filed under the name Ananas comosus (pineapple). Its description in RNAcentral is "long non-coding RNA (ACOM_LNC033368)". Lineage: Eukaryota; Viridiplantae; Streptophyta; Magnoliopsida; Poales; Bromeliaceae. The record is from RNAcentral.